This 253-nucleotide ribosomal RNA is filed under the name uncultured bacterium. RNAcentral's name for it is "partial 16S ribosomal RNA". It matches the Rfam family "Bacterial small subunit ribosomal RNA", at positions 524 to 776 of the family's 1533-position model. The record is from RNAcentral.
UACGGAGGGUGCGAGCGUUGUCCGGAAUCAUUGGGCGUAAAGCGCGCGUAGGCGGUUGCUUAAGUCGGAUGUGAAAGCCCUCGGCUUAACUGAGGAAGUGCAUCCGAAACUGAGCAGCUAGAGUACGAAAGAGGGUCGCGGAAUUCCCGGUGUAGAGGUGAAAUUCGUAGAUAUCGGGAGGAACACCGGUGGCGAAGGCGGCGACCUGGGUCGAGACUGACGCUGAGGCGCGAAAGCGUGGGGAGCGAACAGG